This 465-nucleotide ribosomal RNA is filed under the name Vreelandella stevensii. Its description in RNAcentral is "partial 16S ribosomal RNA". It matches the Rfam family "Bacterial small subunit ribosomal RNA", at positions 338 to 795 of the family's 1533-position model. Lineage: Bacteria; Pseudomonadati; Pseudomonadota; Gammaproteobacteria; Oceanospirillales; Halomonadaceae. The record is from RNAcentral.
CCUACGGGUGGCAGCAGUGGGGAAUAUUGGACAAUGGGGGGAACCCUAAUCCAGCCAUGCCGCGUGUGUGAAGAAGGCCCUCGGGUUGUAAAGCACUUUCAGUGAGGAAGAACGCCUGGUGGUUAAUACCCAUCAGGAAAGACAUCACUCACAGAAGAAGCACCGGCUAACUCCGUGCCAGCAGCCGCGGUAAUACGGAGGGUGCGAGCGUUAAUCGGAAUUACUGGGCGUAAAGCGCGCGUAGGUGGCUUGAUAAGCCGGUUGUGAAAGCCCCGGGCUCAACCUGGGAACGGCAUCCGGAACUGUCAAGCUAGAGUGCAGGAGAGGAAGGUAGAAUUCCCGGUGUAGCGGUGAAAUGCGUAGAGAUCGGGAGGAAUACCAGUGGCGAAGGCGGCCUUCUGGACUGACACUGACACUGAGGUGCGAAAGCGUGGGUAGCAAACAGGAUUAGAUACCCUAGUAGUC